This 57-nucleotide transfer RNA is filed under the name Bos taurus (domestic cattle). It matches the Rfam family "tRNA", at positions 8 to 63 of the family's 71-position model. From Rfam's summary of the family: Transfer RNA (tRNA) molecules are approximately 80 nucleotides in length. Their secondary structure includes four short double-helical elements and three loops (D, anti-codon, and T loops). The record is from Rfam by way of RNAcentral. Lineage: Eukaryota; Metazoa; Chordata; Mammalia; Artiodactyla; Bovidae. RNAcentral also lists the same sequence under 5 other names.
UGACUUAGAUGGUAAAGAAUCUGUCUGAAAUGCAGGAGACCCAGGUUCAAUCCCUGG